This 600-nucleotide long non-coding RNA is filed under the name Chinchilla lanigera (long-tailed chinchilla). Its description in RNAcentral is "lncRNA (ENSCLAG00000026859.1)". Lineage: Eukaryota; Metazoa; Chordata; Mammalia; Rodentia; Chinchillidae. The record is from RNAcentral.
GGGGUUGUGACCUGUGAAGCUGGAAUCCGGGGAUCUUGGAGAAAGAGGGAGCUGAGGUAUCAGAGAAAGAACGAGAGGAUGGACUCUUCCCAGGCCUCCCCACCACAUGGACACCAUACCAACAUUAGCAGUUUCCAGAACGCCUGGAGGGACCUUCAGAACUUGGCCUGCAGGAGUUCCUGUGCUGAACAGCAGAAGAAAAGUCAGCAUUCAGUUUUCAGCAAAGUGCACAGAAUGUGGAAAACACGACCAUCUUUAAACUACUUGGGAAUAUGUACAACUUUAAUACAGUUUCAGACUGCUGAGGACACUAUUCCACUUCAUAGAUGAGGAGUGAAUGUCUUCCACACUUGUCAAAUCCACAUCAAUGUUUGGAAAAGCUGGCGUCACAACAGCGCUGACUUUGGAGGAAAGAGAAGGCAAGAAAGAGAAAAAAAGAAGAAGAAAGACCAACCUUAAAAACUUAGGCUACUGACAGUCUUUGUCCAGUGGGCAUCAGGCGAUAAAUACAGAACACUAUUCUAACCAUGUAGUAAGCAUUCAAUAAUUCAUUGAUGGGGACAAGUAUUAGAUCAAUUGUCUUUUAGGCCUCUGGUUGCU